This 67-nucleotide transfer RNA is filed under the name uncultured Bermanella sp. It matches the Rfam family "tRNA". From Rfam's summary of the family: Transfer RNA (tRNA) molecules are approximately 80 nucleotides in length. Their secondary structure includes four short double-helical elements and three loops (D, anti-codon, and T loops). The record is from RNAcentral. Lineage: Bacteria; Pseudomonadati; Pseudomonadota; Gammaproteobacteria; Oceanospirillales; Oceanospirillaceae.
GGGGUUAGCUCAGUUGGUAGAGUGUCAGUUUCCCAAUCUGGAAGUCGCGGGUUCGAUUCCCGUACCC